RNAcentral lists this ribosomal RNA (658 nucleotides) under uncultured Vibrio sp. RNAcentral describes it as "bacterial SSU rRNA". It matches the Rfam family "Bacterial small subunit ribosomal RNA", at positions 63 to 715 of the family's 1533-position model. The record is from RNAcentral. Lineage: Bacteria; Pseudomonadati; Pseudomonadota; Gammaproteobacteria; Vibrionales; Vibrionaceae.
UUAUCUGAACCUUCGGGGGACGAUAACGGCGUCCAGCGGCGGACGGGUGAGUAAUGCCUAGGAAAUUGCCUUGAUGUGGGGGAUAACCAUUGGAAACGAUGGCUAAUACCGCAUAACGCCUACGGGCCAAAGAGGGGGACCUUCGGGCCUCUCGCGUCAAGAUAUGCCUAGGUGGGAUUAGCUAGUUGGUGAGGUAAUGGCUCACCAAGGCGACGAUCCCUAGCUGGUCUGAAAGGAUGAUCAGCCACACUGGAACUGAAACACGGUCCAGACUCCUACGGGAGGCAGCAGUGGGGAAUAUUGCACAAUGGGCGAAAGCCUGAUGCAGCCAUGCCGCGUGUAUGAAGAAGGCCUUCGGGUUGUAAAGUACUUUCAGUUGUGAGGAAGGGGGUGUCGUUAAUAGCGGCAUCUCUUGACGUUAGCAACAGAAGAAGCACCGGCUAACUCCGUGCCAGCAGCCGCGGUAAUACGGAGGGUGCGAGCGUUAAUCGGAAUUACUGGGCGUAAAGCGCAUGCAGGUGGUUCAUUAAGUCAGAUGUGAAAGCCCGGGGCUCAACCUCGGAACUGCAUUUGAAACUGGUGAACUAGAGUACUGUAGAGGGGGGUAGAAUUUCAGUGUAGCGGUGAAAUGCGUAGAGAUCUGAAGGAAUACCAGUGG